This 612-nucleotide long non-coding RNA is filed under the name Erythranthe guttata (spotted monkey flower). RNAcentral describes it as "long non-coding RNA (EGUT_LNC000019)". The record is from RNAcentral. Lineage: Eukaryota; Viridiplantae; Streptophyta; Magnoliopsida; Lamiales; Phrymaceae.
GAGUAGUUCUGGAGAUUCAUUGCCAGGUGUAUCACCGAGUGCCUCAGAGAUGGUAUUCGCUGCUCCCUCGGACAAAUUAUCUGAUGCCAGGGUGACAUUUUCCUUGGAGUCUUGAUCUGCCGGUAACUGAACAACAUUGUCCCCAACUACCGCAAGGGGUGCAGCAGCAUGUUCAUUGAUGAGUAGUUCUGCAGAUUCAUAGCCAGGUGCCUCAUCGAGAGCCUCAGAGACGGUAUUCGCUGCUCCCUCAGACAAAUUAUCUGCAGAUUCAUUGCUACGUGCAUUUUCCUUGGAGUCUUGAUCUGCAGGUGACUGAACAGGUUCAUUGGCAGAUGUGUCCCCAACUACGUCAAAGGGUGCAGCAGCAUGUUCAUCGAUGAGUAGUUCUGCAGAUUCAUUGCUAGGUGUCUCACCGAGUGCCUCAGAGAUGAUAUUCACUGCUCCCUCAGACAAAUUAUCUGAUGCCAGGGUGACGUUUUCCUUGGAGUCUUGAUCUGCAGGUAACUGAACAGGUUCAUUGGCAGAUGUGUCCCCAACUACUUCAGAAGUGUGGUCCAGUGUUCCAUCAGAGAACUUAGUUGGUGCAGAGAAGUCCACGGUAGUAGGAUUUGG